Molecule: long non-coding RNA, 3465 nt
Organism: Haliotis rubra (blacklip abalone)
Lineage: Eukaryota; Metazoa; Mollusca; Gastropoda; Lepetellida; Haliotidae
Exons: 2
Source: RefSeq, a predicted model, not a curated record
CAAAAUACUACAAUCUGUACUUUACUAAGAAAGUGUAAUCCCAAAUAUAACAUAUGUCACAUUCCUGGAACAAGUUGAAAAAAUGGACAUAAUUGAAUUUUUUCUCCAUGCCUUAUUAAAAUUAGCUCUAUAACAGAAGCACGUUUAAAAACAUACACGUAUCAGUCAUGUUAUGUACAAUGUUGUUCAUGUUAUAUACAUUCUGAACCAUGUUAUAUACAUGUGCCAAUCAUGCUGCAUACGCGUUCCAGUGAUGCUAUAUGCAUAUGUCAAUCAUGUUAUUUACAAGUUUAUGAACACGUGUCAGUCAUGUUUGAUGUGAAUGUGAGCGUGUUUGUUGGUAUGUGUUAUAUACAAUCAGCUACCCCAUGUCAGGCACAUGACCCUUUAGAUACACAUAUUUUUAUUAUGCGUUGAUUUACACUUGCUAUUUUUGUACAUGUCCUGCGUGUCCUUUGAACAGUCAAACCCCGUUAAACCGGACUGUGAUGUGAUGAAAACCUCACGAAUGUUUUCAGUUGUAAGCAAGCAUACUUGUAAUGGUUUAAAGUUAGAAAUAUGAAAGAGACAUGGAAAAUAAUAUCCGGAAAAUCCUGAUCUAGCUGAAAAUUCGGCAACAGUCAAGAUUCGGAAUAGUAAUAAAACCCGGAAAAGUGAGAUCAGGACAAAAAGAUUCCGGAAUUGUAUGUACAGUAAGCUGGAUACGCUGAAUUAGGCCAUCCGGAAUAUUUGAAUUCUAGAAUUAAGAGGUCUAAGCAAUUAAAAUACGGAAUAGACAGGUUCGGACAACAAUAUACGGAGCAAAGUGUUUCAGACAGCUAAAGUCCGGACUAACGAGGUUUUGCUGUGUGAAAUGUUCUACACAUCUUUUGUAAUGGAAAGCUUAUAAUCUGGUCAAAAUCUGUGUCAGACUCUUUGUAAUUUGAAGAUAGAAACCUUUUCUACUAAAUAAUUAAAUGUCUGGCUCAGAUCAACUGUACGAUCACAUUUCACUUCCAGAGAAAUGUGUCUGAGAAACCCUUGUCCAUUGUUCUUCAAUACAAAGUCCCUGGAGGAAAGUACUUUCUCCUCCAAACAAUGCCAUGAAUCCAUAUACAUUCACCUAUCACAGGACCAACAACUGCUGGCAAUGAUGUAUAACACGAAACCAUCAGACAGGUCCACCAAAGAACAUUAGAUAAGGUCAUGUUCUUUCUGUGCUUGGUUCUUAAUUUCCAUUAGCUGGAAAACAUUCACGACAGCGUGCUAUGGCAUUGUUCAAUUAAAUUACAACAUUUCAGAUACGACGUGUUUAGAAUUAAUUUAUAAUUCGUCAUCACAAGUUCACAAUCCCAAUUUGUUGCAAGCAUGGUACAAAAAUGUGAUUUGCAGGUUAACACUGGUAUUUAAAAAUAUAAACGCUUGCUUUUCGCUUUACAAACGCCUUAAAACUAAAAAGGGAUUUGUAAAAUCGCUUUAAAUGACUCCAUAUUGUGAUACUAAUUUUUCUCAUCUCAGAAUGAUAUCUUUUGCCAGAAAAAAGCUUCCGAGUGCGUUAUAUUGGGUAUUAUAUGCAAGUCAUGCAAGUAAAUGGUAUUGGAACUGACUGUGAAGGUUCUUCUUCAAAGGUGUGACUUCAUGUUAUGUACUAGACUACAUUAUACAAUUUUAACUUUAUUCAUUAUUAUACAAAAUUUAUUAAAUCUACUCAGUAUGUUCAAUAUUAUUAUACAUAAACAUUCUUUAUGCUUUUUUAUACCCCAUAUCUCUCGGAGAUAUAUUUUAUACGUAUAUUUGGGGAAAUCUUUGUAUUUUUCUAUACUAUUCAGUGGAAUUUGACCAAAAACAUAAGUAGUCUUCACUUGGAAGUUCUGCAUUGUUAAAAACAGGCUAUUAUUCAACUUAUCAUCAACAUUAAAAAGCAUUGUAAACCUGAGUGUAGUAUAUGGCAUUAUGGUGUGUUAAUUAGAAUAAGAUAAUGGCUUUAUUACAUUUGUUGAUCAGUGUCAUUGUUAGGAUUUGGGGAAUGAAAUCGUAAAUGUGCAUGAUUGCUAGUGCCCUCCUAAAAGAGCAAAUUCUUAAGAAAUUAAUGAAGUCUCCCUCAAGUAUUUGGCGAAUAACAGAUAGUUACGUGUCACAACCCCCCUUGGUUUAUAAUAUCUUACCGAAGUGCCAAAGUACUGUAAGUAUUUAAUGAAACAGCUGAACACAGAAAAGGUAUUUGUUAAAGUCUUCCAAAGAAAACACAAUUGAGCACAACAGCAACAUAAACAUGACAGUCUUUGAUAUUUCAAAUUUUGAUGAAGUCAUAGAGCUGUGCAAUAGGAUUAGUGCCAACGUUCUUUUGUAUUUGGCAGAUAGUCAAGAACAACAUAGAUAUAAUGUAAAAUGCCACUUUUAAGACACAAGGCUUGGUGUAAUUGUUUAGCACAAUAGUAUGAUAACUGUCAAAGUGUUUCUAUUUCUAUGGUGAAACGCUUAUGCACAAACGUACGAAAAAUUACAAAGUUUGCCUUUACAAAUAAGGCCUUAGUAAAGUCAUUGAGCAGAACAUCACAAUGUAUGGCAAAGUGUUUCUUAAAGAAUAAAGGCUUGGUGAUAUCAUUGAGUACAAUAUUAAAGUAAACGUCAUUUUCCCUUUUCGAAAAAAUACUUUGUUAGGUUACAGAGCACAACAAUAAUACAAAUGUCAUCGUUCUAAUUUAAGGAUAAUACCUUGCUGAUGUCAUUGAGCACAACAAUAAGAUAACUUACAAAGUUCUCCUUACGAUCUAAAUCUUAUUGAAGUAAUUGAGCAGACAUUAAGUUUCACCUUUAAGAAUAUAGCCUUGGUGACGUCAUAGGGCACACUGCUAUACAUGUCAAAGUUCCCUUUUAAGAAUGAAACCUUGGCGAAGUCAUUGAUGACAAUACGUUUAUAUAUGUCAAAGGUCCCUUUUAAAAUUGACAUCUUGGUGAUGUCAUUGAGCACAAUACGUUUGUAUAUUUCAAAGUUCCCUUUUAAGGUUAAAACUUUGGUCAAGUCAUUGAGCACAACGCGUUUAUUUAUGUCAAAGUUUUAAGAAUGAAACCUUGGCGAAGUCAUUGAUUACAACACGUUUAUGUAUGUCAAAGGUCCCUUUUAAAAUUGACAUUUUGGUGAUGUCAUUGAGCACAACAUGUUUUUAUAUGUCAAGGUUCCCCUUUAAGAAUGACAUCUUGAUGAUGUCAUUGAGGACAAUACGUUUGUAUAUUUAAUUUUUCCACUUUAAGAAUAAAACUUUGGUGAAGUCAUUGAGCACAACUCCUAUAUAUGUCAAAGCUCCCCUGUAAGAAUGAAACCUUGGAGAAGUCAUUGAGCACUCCAGUAAGAUACCUGUCUCCUUCCAUGUCUCCAGGUCCACUGCCACUCCUACCGAUACCCUCAUUUCAACGCUCAAAGUGGCUGUAUGCGUAUUUAUAUUUUUGUGGAAUCGUUUUGAUAACAAUAAAGCUAUUUGAAUCACA